GGAUAUGACUCCUCAUCGCAUGGUGGGGGGUGGAAAGCUUUUUGUGGUUUUGGAUGGACUCGCGGCCUAUCAGCUUGUUGGUGAGGUAAUGGCUUACCAAGGCGACGACGGGUAGCCGGCCUGAGAGGGUGACCGGCCACACUGGGACUGAGACACGGCCCAGACUCCUACGGGAGGCAGCAGUGGGGAAUAUUGCACAAUGGGCGCAAGCCUGAUGCAGCGACGCCGCGUGAGGGAUGACGGCCUUCGGGUUGUAAACCUCUUUCAGUAGGGAAGAAGCGAAAGUGACGGUACCUGCAGAAGAAGCGCCGGCUAACUACGUGCCAGCAGCCGCGGUAAUACGUAGGGCGCAAGCGUUAUCCGGAAUUAUUGGGCGUAAAGAGCUCGUAGGCGGUUUGUCGCGUCUGCCGUGAAAGUCCGGGGCUCAACUCCGGAUCUGCGGUGGGUACGGGCAGACUAG
Molecule: ribosomal RNA, 460 nt
Filed under: Arthrobacter sp.
Lineage: Bacteria; Bacillati; Actinomycetota; Actinomycetes; Micrococcales; Micrococcaceae
Description: bacterial SSU rRNA
Rfam family: Bacterial small subunit ribosomal RNA
Source: RNAcentral